RNAcentral lists this ribosomal RNA (275 nucleotides) under uncultured bacterium. RNAcentral's name for it is "partial 16S ribosomal RNA". It matches the Rfam family "Bacterial small subunit ribosomal RNA", at positions 399 to 691 of the family's 1533-position model. The record is from RNAcentral.
GCGUGAGUGAUGAAGGCCUUAGGGUUGUAAAGCUCUUUUACCAGGGAUGAUAAUGACAGUACCUGGAGAAUAAGCUCCGGCUAACUCCGUGCCAGCAGCCGCGGUAAUACGAAGGGGACUAGCGUUGUUCGGAAUUACUGGGCGUAAAGCGCACGUAGGCGGACAUGUCAGUCAGGGGUGAAAUCCCGGAGCUCAACUCCGGAACUGCCUUUGAUACAGCAUGUCUAGAGUCCGGAAGAGGUGAGUGGAAUUCCUAGUGUAGAGGUGAAAUUCGU